This 541-nucleotide ribosomal RNA is filed under the name uncultured bacterium. RNAcentral's name for it is "bacterial SSU rRNA". It matches the Rfam family "Bacterial small subunit ribosomal RNA", at positions 355 to 912 of the family's 1533-position model. The record is from RNAcentral.
UGGGGAAUCUUGGACAAUGGGGGCAACCCUGAUCCAGCCAUGCCGCGUGAGUGAUGAAGGCCUUAGGGUCGUAAAGCUCUUUCGCCUGUGAAGAUAAUGACGGUAGCAGGUAAAGAAACCCCGGCUAACUCCGUGCCAGCAGCCGCGGUAAUACGGAGGGGGUUAGCGUUGUUCGGAAUUACUGGGCGUAAAGCGCACGUAGGCGGACCAGAAAGUUGGGGGUGAAAUCCCGGGGGCUCAACCCCGGAACUGCCUCCAAAACUAUUGGUCUAGAGUUCGAGAGAGGUGAGUGGAAUUCCAAGUGUAGAGGUGAAAUUCGUAGAUAUUUGGAGGAACACCAGUGGCGAAGGCGGCUCACUGGCUCGAUACUGACGCUGAGGUGCGAAAGUGUGGGGAGCAAACAGGAUUAGAUACCCUGGUAGUCCACACCGUAAAACGAUGAAUGCCAGUCGUCGGGUAGCAUGCUAUUCGGUGACACACCUAACGGAUUAAGCAUUCCGCCUGGGGAGUACGGUCGCAAGAUUAAAACUUAAAGGAAUUG